AAACUGAAGAGUUUGAUCCUGGCUCAGAUUGAACGCUGGCGGCAUGCCUUACACAUGCAAGUCGAACGGCAGC
RNAcentral lists this ribosomal RNA (73 nucleotides) under Paraburkholderia tropica. Its description in RNAcentral is "partial 16S ribosomal RNA". It matches the Rfam family "Bacterial small subunit ribosomal RNA", at positions 1 to 73 of the family's 1533-position model. RNAcentral also lists the same sequence under 1 other name. The record is from RNAcentral. Lineage: Bacteria; Pseudomonadati; Pseudomonadota; Betaproteobacteria; Burkholderiales; Burkholderiaceae.